Molecule: ribosomal RNA, 253 nt
Filed under: uncultured bacterium
Lineage: Bacteria
Description: partial 16S ribosomal RNA
Rfam family: Bacterial small subunit ribosomal RNA
Source: RNAcentral
UACGUAGGGCGCAAGCGUUGUCCGGAAUUAUUGGGCGUAAAGAGCUCGUAGGCGGCUUGUCACGUCGGGUGUGAAAGCCCGGGGCUUAACCCCGGGUCUGCAUUCGAUACUGGAUAGCUAGAGUUCGGCAGAGGGAAGCGGAAUUUCCGGUGUAGCGGUGAAAUGCGUAGAUAUCGGAAGGAACAUCAGUGGCGAAAGCGGCUUCCUGGACCAGAACUGACGAUCAGGCUCGAAAGCGUGGGGAGCAAACAGG